RNAcentral lists this ribosomal RNA (269 nucleotides) under uncultured prokaryote. RNAcentral describes it as "partial 16S ribosomal RNA". It matches the Rfam family "Bacterial small subunit ribosomal RNA", at positions 524 to 792 of the family's 1533-position model. The record is from RNAcentral.
UACGGAGGAUGCAAGCGUUAUCCGGAUUUAUUGGGUUUGAAGGGUGCGUAGGCGGAGCGGUAAGUCAGAGAUGAAAUCUUCCAGCUUAACUGGGAAACUGUCUUUGAUACUGUCGUUCUUGAGUAUAGUUGAGGUGGGCGGAAUGUGUAAUGUAGCGGUGAAAUGCAUAGAGAUUACACAGAACACCAAUUGCGAAGGCAGCUCGCUAAACUAUUACUGACGCUGAGGCACGAAAGCGUGGGGAGCGAACAGGAUUAGAUACCCCCGUA